AGCAGGAUACAGCUGGCAGCAACUGUGACAUUCAGCAGUGCCCAGUUUUCCUCCACUUGGAGGAAGCACAUUGGCAAACGGAAGGAGGCAAUCAUCCAGCAGCAGGAUGCUAUGGGGCAAUAAUAAGGCAAGUUCACUUGCUGAGUGGGAUGGUGGCUUGAAGGCUGCUGAAAUCCAUGGUCAGAAGCUGGUUGGUGUCUAAUGAUGGACCUAACAGAAGCUGGCAAAUGUUGGUGGGUGGAAGCCAGUGGAGUUUGCAUCCUGAAGCUGCUGGAUGUCUCAUGGUUGAAGCAGGCUGGUGUUUGUGGAUGCAAAUUGGUUGAAAAUCACCUUUGGAAGCCACUCAACAGAAGCGGGUGGAUAUUUGUGGAUUGAAACUGGGGCACAAAUAUAAAUGAACGGAGAGUAAAUGAUGAGUGAAUGUGUCUGCUGAUGUUCUUGUCAGUUGGCGUAUGUUUGUGUGGGUGUAUGUUUGACGUGGGUGGCGCUGUGAUCUAAACCACUGAGCCUCUUGGGCUUGCUGAUCAGAAGGUCAGCAGUUUAAAUCCACAUGAUGGGGUGAGGUCCCAUUGCUCUGUCCCAGCUCCUGCCAACCUAGCAGUUUGAAAGCAUACCAGUGCAAGUACAUAAAUAGGUAACGUGGGAAGGUAAACAGUGUUUCUGUGCUCUCUGGCUUCCAUCACGGUGUUCCAUUGCGCCAGAAUCAGUUUAGUUAUGCUGGCUACAUGACCCGGAAAGCUGUCUGUGGACAAAUGCCGGCUCCCUCAACCUGAAAGUGAAAUGACUUCCGCAACUCCGGAGUCGCCUUUGACUGGAUUUAACGAUCCAGAGGUCCUCUACCUUUUUUACCUUGCAUGGGUGAAUGGGGAGUUUCCAAAGUGGUGCAAAUUGUUUUCCAUUUGGUUGUGUACUUUUUGAUGUGUUUUAUUUAUUGCUUAUGACUUUUGUUAUGUUGGUAAAUAUGUAAAUCUUGUCAUGUUGUCAUGCCUUGAGCAUUGUUUUAACCAUGGAAAGGCGGCAUACAAAUAAAAUGAUGAUGAUACUAACAAUUCAAUACUCUUAAAAAACCCCUGCAGUUUCCAGGAUUCUUUGGGGGAAGCAACAACUGUUAAAGUUGUAUAAUAGUGCUUCAAAUGUAUGGUGCAGAUGUUGGCAUGAAGGUCACUUUGUCCAGUAGUACGUUGGCUAGAAUGGGAGAACAGACAUGAGCCCAAACUGUAAUCUAGAAACCUGGGAAAUGCCAGUGACACAGAGCUAACAUGCAGUGCUGUUUGAGAUAGUGGGGAUUUUUUUUAUACAAAUAGCAGCAUUACUGGGGAGUGGGGCUGUAAAUCUGUAAUUUACGCUUAUAUGUUUCAAUUUGAAGAUGACAAAUUAAUCAAUGGUUCCAGUUAAAGUGCGCUUAAUGUGUACUUAUUUACAUUGCCUCGGGGCAGAUGGGACUACAUUCAUCAGAGUCAGGGAACAGGGUUGCCAAGUGACCAGGGUGAUAGCAGCCUGGUUUGCUCUUGUGCCCCUCACCACAUCAAUAUGCAGAAAUCACAGGGUGAAGCUUUACAAGGCGCAGAGGUAAGCAUCAAUGCCUAUGAUGCUUACACCUCAAGGCAGAACUACAGAACCCAGAUGAAAAGGUUGGCUGCCAUUUAUUGGUUCCUGUCCCGAAACACCUCUGUUCUGCUCUCUCUUUUUUCUGAGUUACCAGCAGCACUAUACUUAAGCAGAGUGUUUAGAGGACUGUUUGUUUUUCAUCAGUGGUGGUGAUGCCGAUCCGCUCCACGGAAAGAGCUGGCAUGUCUUGCAAAGAUGCACCUCCCCCUCCCUGCUUCCUCCCCACUUUCUUCUUCUUCUUCUUCUUCUCCCGCACAGCUUGAAUGCCCUGACUCUUUGUGAGAGAUAGUGCGACAGAUGCAAAGCAGGGAGCAAAAGUGGAGGCUCCAAUUAUUAUGGCCUUGGGGCUCAUUACAGGCAGUGGCCUUCUUCAUAAGAGUUACCCGGUGUUUGGCCAGCUCCCCGAUGGCUUUGCGCAUUCCUUUUCUUUCACUGAAUGAAUGCUCUAAUCUGGCUGCAGGGCAUCACCAGCCCCAAUGGCCCGCUUGCUGCACCUGCUCAUCAAGGAUUGCAAACACCUGCCAGGGUUGGGGCUUAGCAUUUAAGUGCUGCUAUUUGAAGACAAAUCUUUGGUUGUGGGCUGGUUUUGUGUUUUUUGGUCUGUGCCUGCUCCCUCAUCCCACCCACCCCCUCCAUUUCUCCUUACACUUUGGCGCUGGGGAUAUUGAAGGCAGUUUUCCUUUCAUUUUCUGCUUUGCACAGGCUGAUGUGUAAGAUCAAGGUGCAAGGCAAAGAAGGAAGAGCCUUAAGUACUGUAUAGUAGAGCCUGUGGCUCUCUCAGAGCCCUAUCAGAUUCAUUCUCUCUCUCUCUCUCUCUGUGUGUGUGUGUGUGUGUCUGCCUGCCUGCCUGUCUGUGUGUCCGAGUGUGUCCCUCUCCCAUCUCUACACCAGUUGCCGAAAUGCAGUCACUUCUAGUGGGGAAAUGGAGAAGAGAGCAUACCCUCCAACAUUCCUCAGAUAAAAAUAGGGACAUUUCUCACUCCCCCCAGCUGAUCCUCCUCAAACCCCCCCCCAUUUUGGGUCCCUCCCACCUCCAGAGCAUUUCCUAUCAGAAGAAGGCUAGUGCCGCCACCACUUCAACAAUGUAACACAGCACACAUGCCCUCCACUCCUUAAUCCUGAUUUUAUUUUGUUCUUUGGUAGAUUCACAGAAAGAAAAACACACACCAAGAAAUAAAUUUUAGAAAGGGGCAAGAUUAGUUGCAGAAGGUAGUAGUAGUAGUAGUAGUAGUAGUAGUAGUAGUAGUUGUUCUUCUUGUGUGUGUUUUGUUUUUUGUUUUGUUUUUAAAACAAUCCAAGACUCCUUGUGCUCUGCUCCUCCUCGCUUCCCAUCCAGGGCAGUCCUGCCCUCUGCCUGCCCCUCACAGCUGACAUAUCACACAGUAAUAAUAACAACAAUAACAAUUUAUUUAUUUAUACUCCGCCCAUCUGGCUGGGUUUCCCCAGCCACUCUGGGUGGCUUCCAACAAAAUAUUAAAAAUACAAUAAAAGUUCAAACAUUAAAAAACUUCCCUAAACAGGCCUUCAGAUGUCUUUUAAAAGUAAGAUAGUUGUUUAUUUCCUCGACAUCUGAUGGGAGGGCGUUCCACAGGGCAGGCGCCACUACCGAGGAGGCCCUCUGCCUGGGCCGGGCCUUGGCAGCAGGAGCCGCUACUCCUCCUCGCCCGCUCUCCAGCAGCUACUGUGAGCUACCCAAGGGAGAAGGCUGGCAGCAGCGGCCAUGGAGAGGCAUGGGAUGUUCCCUCGCUCCUGCCACCUCUUGGGACAAGUGUCAGCUGAUCCUCCUCCCUGAGCUUGGGGCAGCAGCACUGGCGAGGGAAAGAGGGACAUUCCGGGAUCAAAUCAGAAGCUGGAAUAGCUUUCGUAAUUCUGGAACUAUCCCUGGAAAAUAGGGGCAGGUGGAGGGUAUGAGAGAGUGUGGUGAUUCUUCACUAACUGUCUAGAAGCCCACUCCUCAUCCUUAAGCUAACCAGAGGCAGAGAGGAAGGCAGGAGGGUCCCGGUGCCUAUGGAGCUGAAAGAAGAGGGUUAAGGGCAGGGUACCUUGUUGUAGUCUAAAAACUGCAUUGUCACGUCAUUUGGCUGUAAUGUUGAUUUACACUGUCAGAGGCAGGAUGCCUGUGAAUUUGUGUUACUGGAAAUCUCAGAUGGGGAAAGCACUGUUGCGCCCAGAUCCUGCUUAAGGACGUCACACAGGAAUCUGAUUGGCCAUUGUGAGACCAGGAUGGUGGGUGAGAUGUCCCAUUGGCCGUAUCCAGCAGAUGCUUCUUAUACUCUGAGAUUGUUCUUUUUUUUAAUUAUUUAUUUAUUUGAUUUCUAUACCGCCUUAUACCCGAAGGUCUCAGGGCAGUUCACAUAAAAUAUCAAAUACAUAAAAUCGAAAUAAAACCAACAACCCAAUAAACACCCCCCCCCCCAAAAUAAAGAGCCAGCAUUUUUAAACAGGGUAUAGGAUGUAGAUCAAGUCAGGCAAAGGCCUGGUUGAAAAGGAAUGCUAUUGCCUGGCACCUAAAGGUGUACAGUGAAGGUGCCAGGUGAACUUCCCUGGGGAGAGCAUUCCACAGGCGGGGAGCCACUGCAGAGAAGGCCCGUUCUCAUGUUGCCACGCUCCAGACCUCUUGAGGAGGCAGCACACGAAGGAGGGCCUCAGAAGAUGAUCUCAGGGUCCAGGUAGGUUCAUAUGGGAAGAGGUGGUUAGGUUUGCCACCUGUCCCUGAGUAGGAGAAGACUACUUUGCAUUUGCUGUAGGAGGUGGGGAGAGUUCUUUUGCACUCAGUGCUUAGCUCCUGCCUAUGGGCUUUCCAUGGGACAUGGUUGGCCACUGUGAGAACAGAGUGCUGAACUUAGUGGGACUUUGGCCUAAUCCAGCGGGGCUCAUGUUGUUUCUAUAUCCCAAAACUUUCUACAUCCCAUUUAGUGCUAUAGCUAAUUCAUUUCCACGGAUUCUUCUCAAAAUUAUCCUUUGGGAACUUUCAUGUCCCUGUAUUCUCCAGGAUUUUUCCUGCAUGCACAUGUGUUGUCUGGAUAUUUGAUAGAUGAGGGUUGCUGUUUUGAAAGCCCUUAAUGAUAGUUUGACUUUUAACAUUUGAUCCGACCUUUUAUAUUUUGCAGUCUUCUCAAAAGACAUUAUUAAUAGCUCAUAUUCAGUGGCACAUCACAAUGGUUUUCAAACUUUCUACCUUGAGGGCAAGUUUUCCAGUUCAACAGGAAAUGAACCUGACUUGUCUCCCACAGAACCAUGCACUGGGGUAUUUUCUAUGGCGCAUAGUUGGUUCACCUUGGGCAAUGUUGGACCUUCACAAGUUGUCUUAGAAUGUGCCCAGCAUUCCACAUUGACUGCAUCUUGAAGAGGAAGGUGACCAGUGGUGGGAAAGCUAUAUUUUGCUUGUCUUUCUCAUGGACGAACCCCUGAUAUUCUUCUAAAGAACCUAGGAAGAUCAUUUGGCAACAUAUGAUACUUCACAGUGCAUUGACCAUUUUAAGACAUAGCAGCUUAUUUUCAUAUCAAAGUAAUCAAGAGAAUCUAACACAUACUAAAACAUUCAUGUUUUGAGGGUGUGUUUUUUAAACAUUCAAACAUCUAAACUGUAAAGUUUCAUUAAAAGAAUUGAAUGGGCAACUAGCCAAUUGGCUUCUGUGCAAAUAUUUAUGUUGGCUCUACGUAAAACUGAAAUGUCCUUUAUCCAUGUUAUGUGUGCUAAAAUGAUGGGUGGGUUACAGAGACGGAGAGGCAGGGUUAUGCAGAUAGCACCAGGCAGGCCUGAACCCACCACUUGCUUUCAUGAUGUUGAUGUCGAAAUGUGAGUAAAGCACAUUUAAUUAAUUUGAAUAAAAGAAUGAGUAGUGGGGACACUCUUCCGAUCCCUGAGUCCUACAUGCUGCUUCACUGAGCUGCUUCACUGAGCUAAGCCAAAUGUGUGUUCCUCCACACAGGCUGAUGGUGAUUAUCAAGAAUUUGGGGGACCAUUUGCCCCCUUAAUACCUAGACUGAGGAGAACCACCCUGACCUUAAAUAAACAAAGCAGGAUAAGGGGAGAAAGGCCUGUGAAUUCUUAUUAGUAAGGGAUAGCCAAUGUGGUGCUCUCCAGAUAUUGCUGGACUACAACUCCCAUCAGUGCCAGCCAACAUGGCCAAUGCUCAAGGAUGGUGGGAGAUGUAGUUCAAUGACACCUGGAGGGCACCAUAUUGGCCAUCCCUACUCUUGCGGGGUGGGGAGGCCUUUCUAUGUCCCAUCCCCUUCAGGCUUAUAGCAACACCAACUCACCACCACAGCAGGUCAAAUGAAAGAGGGAAGGGAACACACUGUGCAAAUAAUUACAGAUCUUAGCAAGUCAGUAAACUUAUACCUCAGUUCACAAGCGAUACAUGGGGUGUUACUAAAGAGUAAGGCACCAAAAUGAAUUGGUGAACUCUGGUGUAUUUGCACUCUGUGGAAAUGGUUGAUAGUGAAAGAGGAGAAGAAAGAGAACUGUUAACAAAGAGCCUUAGAGAAAGAUUAAAAAGACAGAAAUGAAAUCAAGCAAAGACAGAUCCAUGAAAGCCCUGGCUGUGAAUAGAAGAAUGGAGGAUUAUGUUGUGAGCUGUGUCAAGAGGUGGAAGAAAGAUCAAGAAGCAGGAGAACAGAAUAAGGGCCUUUGAAUUUAGCAAGAAGGUCAUUAUAUACUUUUGUCAGAACAACCUUGCUUGAACAGAAAGGGCAAAAUCUACAAUGGAAUAUAUCAAAAAGAGAAUUUUCAGAAAGAAAACUGAGACACUGAGGGCAGAACUAUGUGUAAGCUUAGCAAAUACGUAUUUCAAACUCACAUUCACUGUCAUGAUGCAAAUACUACACAAUAGUGGACACAUUUGGCAAUGAGAAUUGGAAGUGGGUCCUUUACCUGUCCUGUAGCCAUCUAUUUUCCUUUUUCUCCUCAGGUGGAAGGAAAGGGAAACUGAUAUUUUUCCUCACAAUGUGGUGUUCUACUUGGAGUGUGGAUCGAAUGCUUGAAGAGCUUUGAAAGAAAGGAAAUAAGAGAAAGAAUAUGGCCGUUAGUCCAGUGACAAAGUAGUUCUUGGUUUGUAGUACUGUGUGGGACAGUAUCUUGCUUAAGUUUGAAGAAAAAGUGUUGGAGGUUACUGCUGAAUUAAAAAUGUGAACCAAAGAACAGAGAAGAGAAUAAGCAAUAGAGAGAGAGAGAAAUUAGACAGAGAGGUAUAGGAACUGGACUUAGCAACUGAAGAUAAGGAGAAGCUGCAUUUUAAAAGGUGAAAAAGCAGAAAUUGAAGGGAAUAUGAAAAUGAUUUGGAGGAGGAGGAAGAGGAGGAGAGGAAGGACACGCAAAAAGAAGGACAGAUUAAGUUUCAUCAGCAAAAGAAAGACGGUGAACGACUGAGAAGAAAUAGCCCUUGGAGCUGUAGAGAGAAGAGGGGAGGAGAAGAGGUUUGUGAAAAGAUAAACAAUUGUGAGAGCAGGAAGCAGAAGGCUGUGUCAAAUACACAGCUGUUUUGUUUUGGUUUUUUAGAAGAAAGUUCAGAAGAAGAAAUUAAUGGAAAUGUAAGCCUAUGGUGGGAGAAGUUGGCAGGAGGAAUGUAUCUGCUGCUGGAGCCUCUCAGCUGCACAAAUACUAGAUGAAUCCCACUUAUCUGUAAAGUUUGUGAGAUAUCCACAACCAAUUUGAAGUUUGGAUAAAUGAGACAUUUCCACAGAGCUGCACGGAAAUGGGACUAUGCAGAGAAUUUGCAUAGUAAGUUCAAAUAACCUCCUUCCAUAUCUCCCUUCUGCAAGCGCAGGGCAGGAAUAAGUAACAUGGAGCGAGACCAUUUAACCACUGUGAUUUGUCUCCUCUGUGGGACACAUCAUAAAACCACAGCUGCCAGUGGUUUUGCAGCAAACACCACGUUUACCAAGGAGGGAGGAGAUUAUCACCUCUUGCUAUGUGCUUGUGGUGUGUGUUCCUCCCUUGAAUCCAGUCCCUGGGUACUUAUUAUCAAACUCUCUUAAAUGCGGUUUGCCAUCUAUUUCUGUACACCUCUUUGCUGCCUCUGUAAUUAUUGUGGGCGUUUCUAUAGUUACUUGGCCCAGGGGUGGCUUCUUCAUUACAGCCGUGGUCUGUAGUUCAGCAUGAGUAAGGGAAUUUUGACUGUUGCUCCGUGCCCCCAGGAGCCACCAAGGCACCAGCACCAAGACACAGGUUCUAAAACAAAUAAUAAUGCAAGGUCGGUGUUUGUGUGUGGGUACCGCGCGAUGGUUUGAAGUGAGGCUAGAAAAAGAUCCAGCACUGGAUAUAGCAGAUAGGUACGAGUGGGGCCCCAAUGAAAUUUGCCCUGGUGUGAACUCUGUCUCUCUUUUGUGGCUGCGCGUUGUAUAAACUAUACUUAACACAGUGCAAGGUGGGGAGCAUCUGCGACUUUUUAAAGCCAUGGGGAUGGGAGUGUUUGAUUCUGUCCCAGAUAUAUAAUGUGAUUUGAGGCAGGUCAGAAAACCAACAGAACUGGAUCUGAUGAUAACAUCCUUCAGCAUGUCAUGCCUUUUCUUAUACAGUGGUACCUCGUACUUAAUUCGUUCCGGAGGUCUGUUCUUAACCUGAAGCACCACUUUAGCUAAUGGGGCCUCCCACUGCUGCCACCGCACAAUUUCUGUUUUCAUCCUGAAGCAAAGUUCUUAACCCAAGGUACUAUUUCUGGGUUAGCAUAGUCUGUAACCUGCAGCGUAUGUAACCUGAAGCGUAUGUAACCCGAGGUACCACUGUACUGAUUUAUACACCUCUAUCACAUCUCUCCUCCACCACCUUACUCGCCUCUUUUCUAACCUAAAAAGGCCCAAAUGUUAUAACCUUUCCUCACAGGGGUUUGCUCCAACCACUUGAUUAUUUUUGUUGCCCUUUUCAGAACCUUUUCCAGCUCUGCAAUAUCCUUCUUGAGCUGUGGCGGCCAGAAUGGUACACAGUUUUUUAAGGUGGUCUCACCUUAGCUUUGAGUAAUGGCAUUAUCAUAUUGGCAGCUUUGUUUAUAGUCCCUUUCCUCACGAUCCCUAACAUGGAAUUCACCCUUUUUGCAGCUGCUGCAUGUUGGGUCAAUAUCUCCACUGAGCUAUCUAUUGUUGUUGUUGUUGUUGUUGUUGACCAAUUCAGACCCUAUCAGUGUAUAUUUUUAAUUAGGAUUGUUUGUCCCAAUAUGACUCACUUUGCAAAUUUAACAUGGAGUGAGUAUUGAAAUGUUAUAAUAAUAAUAACACAGUCGUACCUUGGUUUUCGAACAGCUUAGUUCAUGAGCAACUUGGAACUCGAACGUCACAAACCUGGAAGUAGGUGUUCUGGUUUGCAAACUUUGCCUCGGAAGCUGAACGUCUGGUGCGGCUUCUGCGGCUUCUGAUUGGCUGCAGGACACUCCUGCAGCCAGUUGGAAGCCUCACCUUGGUUUCUGAACGUUUUGGAAGUUUGAACAGACUUCCGGAAUGCAUUCUGUUCGAAAACCAAGGUAUGACUGUAUUAAUGUAAUAAUAAUAAAUCACAAAUUGCUUUCUUUCUUUCUUUCUUUCUUUCUUUCUUUCUUUCUUUCUUUCUUUCUAACUUUAUGUAGGAACCUAUAACAGAAUCAUAGUGGAGAGCCAUAUGUAUGAAAUAGCUUCCACAUGAACAAAUGAGCGUGACUGUAUCAGAAAGUACGCUUGAAAACAAGUGUUUCCUCCCUGACCUAAUGGCUUUGGAGUUUUUCCACAGACGAACCUCACCUGACAAUGAGAUGCUAAAAGUUAUGUGCAACUUUUACCACAAAAGAACCAGCAGUUAAGAGGGCUUUCAAAUAUCACCGUAGGAUUUAUUCACAGCAUUGCAAGCCGGUGUCCCAAGCCCCAUCACCUUGAUGUAGCCCCCUGGGCAACCAGCAGUCCUGCGCUACACAGCGCCACAGCCUCACCAGCAGCCGUUGAUUUUUAUUGAUCCAUUCCUUGUUCUUUUAAUCUGGUGGCAACUGCACGCACAAGCUCUAUCCUGACAAAUGAACAGCUGUGAGUAACACCGGGGCCUGAGAUAUAAUUAUUUUAAUUUGAUUGCAUCUUAUGCCUCCGAGCCCAGAUGGCAUGACAAAGCCUUGGUGCCAUCCUGCUGGGUUGGCACACUGGGGCCGCCAGACACUGGUUUCAACCACUGAGCAUUGAAAAGGCAGCGUCUUCAUUCAAGUGGGAGGAACCCUGCCAGCGCUCUAGGAAAGAAAGAUGGUCAAGGCAGCAGAAUAGCCUUAGUCCUGCUUGGGGAGGUGUCUCCAUAAAGCUAAGUGAUAUUUGCCUCCUUUUCUCUCCUCCCUCGCCCUCCUGCCCUAUCCACCCUCCCCUUUCCCUCAUGGCCUAAAUGGCCUGGAAUUGAAAUCACAGUAUCUCUUAGGCAAUGAUGCUUUCACAGGGCAGCAGGUGAAGAGAACCGAGCACAUGUUUCUUUUGCUGUUUUUACCAUCCUGCACUACAGACCCAGAGACUGAUUGAUGGAUUUUUUUUUUUAACAUAGCAUUCUUGAGGCCCCAAGCCUGCCUCUGUCAGCCACACUGAACAUAUGUCUACAUAUUCCCCUGGGCAGCAUUUAAAUGUGCGCAUCCAUGUGGCUGUAUUUGUUUAGUGUGUGCUCCCACUGAUCUAAUGGGACCUUUCCCAUGACCCAUUGCUUCCUUAAGUUUGCCACUUGCUGCUGUCAAGUGAGAGAAGCCUUAACUUGGAAGGCUAGCGCUGGAAGUGAAUGAGACCCUCCCUCCUAUGCACCCCCCCAGCUUCUUUUUCAAACUGAAUUCUCUAGCUGAUGGAUUGUCAAAC
This is a non-coding RNA of Podarcis lilfordi (Lilford's wall lizard), 10383 nucleotides long. The record is from the annotation of a GenBank genome assembly. NCBI's taxonomy places the organism in Eukaryota, Metazoa, Chordata, Lepidosauria, Squamata, Lacertidae.